GUAGCUAUGUACGGAAUGGAUAAGCGCUGAAAGCAUCUCAGCGCGAAGCCCACUUCAAGAUAAGAUUUCCCACCGCAAGGGUAAGACCCAAGAAAGACUAUCUGGUUGAUAGGUCGAAGGUGUAAGUGCAGACAUGUAUCUGUACCUUA
RNAcentral lists this ribosomal RNA (149 nucleotides) under Clostridioides difficile. RNAcentral describes it as "partial 23S ribosomal RNA". It matches the Rfam family "Bacterial large subunit ribosomal RNA", at positions 2745 to 2894 of the family's 2925-position model. Lineage: Bacteria; Bacillati; Bacillota; Clostridia; Peptostreptococcales; Peptostreptococcaceae. The record is from RNAcentral.